Molecule: long non-coding RNA, 487 nt
Filed under: Pongo abelii (Sumatran orangutan)
Lineage: Eukaryota; Metazoa; Chordata; Mammalia; Primates; Hominidae
Description: lincRNA
Source: RNAcentral
GUGUUUUGGGCGGUUCCAGCCGUUAGUCGCAGGGCGGCCGGACUACAAUCCCAGCAUGCAAGGGGAGUGGAGGUGGUGACCUUGAGGGAGGGCCUGUGCUGUGCGCGCCUCGCCGGGCAUGCUGGGAACAGUAGCAUCUUAGCUGCUUCCGGCCGCUGGUCGCAGGGCUGCGGGACUACAAUCUUCGCUUGAAAUGGGAGAGAGGGUGGUGCGGAUACCUUGAGGAAGGAACCCUACAAGGCCUGUUAGAGAAGAAGGGGUAGAAUCCCGAGAAUGUUUUCCCCACAGUGCUGAUAAGGAGAGACCACUACCCCAUCUACUGCUACAACUCUGGAGACAUAGCUCUGCCAUCUCUCCUAUAGAACACAAGGACCAAUCUGCAGAGAAAGAGCAUCCAAACCUGAUCCAGUGGACACUGGGGAAAAACUCACCACAGCUGAGUGUGGAAAAACAAGGCCAACACACACAUCUCUGCACAGAUACAUCU